GUGCCAGCAGCCGCGGUAAUACGGAGGAUCCGAGCGUUAUCCGGAUUUAUUGGGUUUAAAGGGUGCGCAGGCGGCUUUGCAAGUCAGCGGUCAAAUCGUGGAGCUCAACUCCAUUCCGCCGUUGAUACUGCCGGGCUUGAUUGCGGUUGAGGUUUGCGGAAUUCGUCGUGUAGCGGUGAAAUGCAUAGAUAUGACGAAGAACCCCGAUUGCGUAGGCAGCAGACCAAGCCGUAAAUGACGCUCAUGCACGAAAGUGCGGGGAUCGAACAGGAUUAGAUACCCUGGUAGUCCGCACAGUAAACGAUGAAUACUUGCUUUUGGCGAUAUAUUGUCAGAGGCAAAGCGAAAGCGAUAAGUAUUCCACCUGGGGAGUACGCCGGCAACGGUGAAACUUAAAGGAAUUGACGG
This 408-nucleotide ribosomal RNA is filed under the name uncultured bacterium. RNAcentral describes it as "bacterial SSU rRNA". It matches the Rfam family "Bacterial small subunit ribosomal RNA", at positions 505 to 916 of the family's 1533-position model. The record is from RNAcentral.